UACGAACUGUGCGAACGUUAUUCGGAAUCACUGGGCUUACAGGGUGCGUAGGCGGCUCAACAAGUCAGGUGUGAAAGCCCCCGGCUCAACCGGGGAACUGCGCUUGAAACUGUUAGGCUCGAGUCAGCUAGAGGUACACGGAACUUCCAGUGGAGCGGUGAAAUGUGUUGAUAUUGGAAGGAACACCGGAGGCGAAGGCAGCCCCCUGGGCCAAUACUGACGCUCAGGCACGAAAGCGUGGGGAGCAAACAGG
This 253-nucleotide ribosomal RNA is filed under the name uncultured bacterium. RNAcentral's name for it is "partial 16S ribosomal RNA". It matches the Rfam family "Bacterial small subunit ribosomal RNA", at positions 524 to 776 of the family's 1533-position model. The record is from RNAcentral.